AAGCCUACGGGGGGCAGCAGUGGGGAAUAUUGCACAAUGGGGGAAACCCUGAUGCAGCAACGCCGCGUGAGUGAAGAAGUCAUUCGUGAUGUAAAGCUCUAUCAGCAGGGAAGAAAAUGACGGUACCUGAGUAAGAAGCCCCGGCUAACUACAUGCCAGCAGCCGCGGGAAUACGUAGGGGGCAAGCGUUAUCCGGAUUUACUGGCUGUAAAGGGAGCGUAGACGGCUGUGCAAGUCUGAAGUGAAAUGCCGUGGCUCAACCCCGGAACUGCUUUGGAAACUGUACAGCUAGAGUGCAGGAGGGG
Molecule: ribosomal RNA, 305 nt
Filed under: uncultured bacterium
Lineage: Bacteria
Description: bacterial SSU rRNA
Rfam family: Bacterial small subunit ribosomal RNA
Source: RNAcentral